RNAcentral lists this ribosomal RNA (497 nucleotides) under uncultured bacterium. Its description in RNAcentral is "partial 16S ribosomal RNA". It matches the Rfam family "Bacterial small subunit ribosomal RNA", at positions 28 to 507 of the family's 1533-position model. The record is from RNAcentral.
GAUGAACGCUGGCGGCGUGCCUAAUACAUGCAAGUCGAGCGAACAGACGAGGAGCUUGCUCCUCUGACGUUAGCGGCGGACGGGUGAGUAACACGUGGAUAACCUACCUAUAAGACUGGGAUAACUUCGGGAAGCCGGAGCUAAUACCGGAUAAUAUAUUGAACCGCAUGGUUCAAUAGUGAAAGACGGUUUUGCUGUCACUUAUAGAUGGAUCCGCGCCGCAUUAGCUAGUUGGUAAGGUAACGGCUUACCAAGGCGACGAUGCGUAGCCGACCUGAGAGGGUGAUCGGCCACACUGGAACUGAGACACGGUCCAGACUCCUACGGGAGGCAGCAGUAGGGAAUCUUCCGCAAUGGGCGAAAGCCUGACGGAGCAACGCCGCGUCAGUGAUGAAGGUCUUCGGAUCGUAAAACUCUGUUAUUAGGGAAGAACAAAUGUGUAAGUAACUAUGCACGUCUUGACGGUACCUAAUCAGAAAGCCACGGCUAACUACGUG